GAUAAGGAGCUUGCUCCUUUGACGUUAGCGGCGGACGGGUGAGUAACACGUGGGUAACCUACCUAUAAGACUGGGAUAACUUCGGGAAACCGGAGCUAAUACCGGAUAAUAUUUCGAACCGCAUGGUUCGAUAGUGUAAGAUGGUUUUGCUAUCACUUAUAGAUGGACCCGCGCCGUAUUAGCUAGUUGGUAAGGUAACGGCUUACCAAGGCGACGAUACGUAGCCGACCUGAGAGGGUGAUCGGCCACACUGGAACUGAGACACGGUCCAGACUCCUACGGGAGGCAGCAGUAGGGAAUCUUCCGCAAUGGGCGAAAGCCUGACGGAGCAACGCCGCGUGAGUGAUGAAGGUCUUCGGAUCGUAAAACUCUGUUAUUAGGGAAGAACAUACGUGUAAGUAACUGUGCACGUCUUGACGGUACCUAAUCAGAAAGCCACGGCUAACUACGUGCCAGCAGCCGCGGUAAUACGUAGGUGGCAAGCGUUAUCCGGAAUUAUUGGGCGUAAAGCGCGCGUAGGCGGUUUUUUAAGUCUGAUGUGAAAGCCCACGGCUCAACCGUGGAGGGUCAUUGGAAACUGGAAAACUUGAGUGCAGAAGAGGAAAGUGGAAUUCCAUGUGUAGCGGUGAAAUGCGCAGAGAUAUGGAGGAACACCAGUGGCGAAGGCGACUUUCUGGUCUGUAACUGACGCUGAUGUGCGAAAGCGUGGGGAUCAAACAUGAUUAGAUACCCUGGUAGUCCACGCCGUAAACUAUGAGUGCUAAUUGUUAUGGGG
RNAcentral lists this ribosomal RNA (775 nucleotides) under Staphylococcus haemolyticus. Its description in RNAcentral is "bacterial SSU rRNA". It matches the Rfam family "Bacterial small subunit ribosomal RNA", at positions 70 to 830 of the family's 1533-position model. Lineage: Bacteria; Bacillati; Bacillota; Bacilli; Caryophanales; Staphylococcaceae. The record is from RNAcentral.